Molecule: ribosomal RNA, 121 nt
Filed under: Ictidomys tridecemlineatus (thirteen-lined ground squirrel)
Lineage: Eukaryota; Metazoa; Chordata; Mammalia; Rodentia; Sciuridae
Source: RNAcentral
UAACACAGCCAUACUACCCUGAAUGUGCCUGAUCUCUGAAGCUAAGCAGGGUCAGGCCUGAUUAGUAAUUAGGUGAAAAAAACAUCCUUACUUUCAUAUGGUCAGCUUCUCACUGUGUGCU